Molecule: ribosomal RNA, 212 nt
Filed under: Staphylococcus sp. HMSC078A08
Lineage: Bacteria; Bacillati; Bacillota; Bacilli; Caryophanales; Staphylococcaceae
Description: partial 23S ribosomal RNA
Rfam family: Bacterial large subunit ribosomal RNA
Source: RNAcentral
AUAGAUUAAGUUAUUAAGGGCGCACGGUGGAUGCCUUGGCACUAGAAGCCGACGAAGGACGUUACUAACGACGAUAUGCUUUGGGUAGCUGUAAGUAAGCGUUGAUCCAGAGAUUUCCGAAUGGGGGAACCCAGCACGAGUUAUGUCGUGUUAUCGACAAGUGAAUUCAUAGCUUGUCAGAAGGCAGACCCGGAGAACUGAAACAUCUUAGU